This 422-nucleotide ribosomal RNA is filed under the name uncultured Sphingobacteriales bacterium. Its description in RNAcentral is "bacterial SSU rRNA". It matches the Rfam family "Bacterial small subunit ribosomal RNA", at positions 355 to 774 of the family's 1533-position model. The record is from RNAcentral. Lineage: Bacteria; Pseudomonadati; Bacteroidota; Sphingobacteriia; Sphingobacteriales.
UGAGGAAUAUUGGUCAAUGGACGAGAGUCUGAACCAGCCAUGCCGCGUGAAGGAUGAAGGCGUUCUGCGUUGUAAACUUCUUUUGCGGGGGAAGAAACCUUGAUAUUCUUAUCAAGCCGACGGUACCCCGAGAAUAAGCACCGGCUAACUCCGUGCCAGCAGCCGCGGUAAUACGGAGGGUGCAAGCGUUAUCCGGAUUUACUGGGUUUAAAGGGUGUGUAGGCGGAUUAUUAAGUCAGCGGUGAAAUCUCCGAGCUCAACUCGGAAACUGCCAUUGAUACUAUUAGUCUUGAAUAUUGUUGAGGUGGGCGGAACGGGUCAUGUAGCGGUGAAAUGCAUAGAUAUGACCCGGAACACCGAUUGCGAAGGCAGCCCACUAAGCAAUGAUUGACGCUGAGGCACGAAAGCGUGGGGAUCAAACA